UGGUGACACAUUCUACGCGCCGGCGGUGAAGGGACGCUUCACCGUCUCCAGGAACAACGGGCAGAGCACGCUCACCCUGCAGAUGAACAGCCUCAAGGCCGAAGACACCGCCACCUACUACUGCGCGAGAGGUAGUGGUUGUGGUGCUGGUGCUAAUGAGAUUGAU
Anas platyrhynchos (mallard) is the source of this 166-nucleotide non-coding RNA. NCBI's taxonomy places the organism in Eukaryota, Metazoa, Chordata, Aves, Anseriformes, Anatidae. The record is from RefSeq and is a predicted model, not a curated record.